UACAGAGGGUGCAAGCGUUAAUCGGAAUUACUGGGCGUAAAGCGUGCGUAGACGGUAGCGUAAGUCGGGUGUGAAAGCCCCGGGCUCAACCUGGGAAUUGCAUUCGAGACUGCACUGCUAGGGUGCGGAAGAGGGAAGCGGAAUUUCCGGUGUAGCGGUGAAAUGCGUAGAUAUCGGAAGGAACACCAGUGGCGAAAGCGGCUUCCUGGUCCAGCACCGACGUUCAGGCACGAAAGCGUGGGGAGCAAACAGG
This 253-nucleotide ribosomal RNA is filed under the name uncultured bacterium. RNAcentral describes it as "partial 16S ribosomal RNA". It matches the Rfam family "Bacterial small subunit ribosomal RNA", at positions 524 to 776 of the family's 1533-position model. The record is from RNAcentral.